Long non-coding RNA from Momordica charantia (bitter melon), 868 nucleotides. RefSeq lists it as uncharacterized. NCBI's taxonomy places the organism in Eukaryota, Viridiplantae, Streptophyta, Magnoliopsida, Cucurbitales, Cucurbitaceae. The record is from RefSeq and is a predicted model, not a curated record.
GUGGGUUUCUCAUCAAUUGAGGAGAAUAUUAAAAUUUUUCUAUCAUUUUGGUUUCUAAAUUUUCAACCACAAAUUUAUUUCUUUGUAUCUCAAAAUCAUGUAUUUUUCUUUUGAGUUUUCAUAAAUAGGUUUAAAUCUUUGCUCCCCGGCGUCGGCGGAGACUCGAGGCGAGAAGCAACGGCCGAGCAUCAGGAAGAACACAAUCGUCGUCUUCCUCACCGAAAGGGUUCUGUUACUCUUUCUGAUUCUGCCCCGCGCCUUGUCCACGUUGAAAUUGACUCGAUCAUGAUCGCCUUUUGCCCUAGCGAAUACUUUCACUUUCACUUUCACUUUCUCCCGCCAAUUUCUCUCUAAACUCUAAAUUCGGAUCCAAGCACUCUGUUCUUAUCUCUCGUUUGAUUCUGGCAAUUUCGUCGCCUACCGGAAUUGAUCGAAAUGAAGCAGCUCCAUAAAAUCGAUGAAAGAAUAAGGCCAUGUGGAGUAACUGUAGAUUUUCGAUCGGAUUUUGGAGGAUUCCCGAUUUGGAUCCAGAAAUCUUUGAAUUGCAGGCCGGCAUCGCCAUCGUCGAUCUCUGCAACAACUACAAUAGAGAGGUAUAAAUAUUUACAGGAAAAUAAGACGCAACAAUCGGAGCUCGCGGCGGCGGAUCCGCCACCGGCCGUUGAUUAUUAAUCGGAGGCUCCUAGAAAGAAGAAGAAGAAGAUGGAAAGUAUUGGUCCAAUUUCUUGGUCGAGAAGUAUGCCUUCAGAUCAGAUUCUACUCGACAUUUACAGGAAUAAAAAUGUCGCCGAUGCACAAGUCCCGAACCAAGAGACGUUAUCGGUAUUGGUAUAACAGCAUCUGGUAUAAUAUAGAAUGGGAGCAAGUU